Molecule: long non-coding RNA, 1082 nt
Filed under: Betta splendens (Siamese fighting fish)
Lineage: Eukaryota; Metazoa; Chordata; Actinopteri; Anabantiformes; Osphronemidae
Description: lncRNA (ENSBSLG00000019510.1)
Source: RNAcentral
CAUAAUCAUCGACUGCGCCAACAGUUUGUGGCUAAUAAAUUAGGUCUAGUGACCACAGAUGUGGGUGUUGAACACAAACUGUAAUUAUUUAUUAAGCCUCGUACACAUUCUUUCAGAGUGGCAGUAAUUAUUCCUCUGAUGGUUGAAUAUUGAUUCCUCACCUUUUCGUUCCUGCUAGUUUAUAUUGCUCUCUAAAUUAAGACCUCUGCAUCUUUCUACUCCACAGUGAAAUCCAGGAUGCUGAGUCAGACCCAUUCCACUAAUGGACCAGGCAAAGCUGCUGAUCGACUGCAUCAGCCACAGUCUGGAGGAAUAGGGAAGUGUGAUUUUGUCAGCGUUGCCUAUGUGGGUGGUCUCACACCAGGAACACUUGUUGUAGAAGACCACACUGAACAUUCCAGCUGCUGCUUACCAGUCACUGAUAUAUUAAGUUAAGCUAAUUAAGGCAAGACACAUUAGGAGGCAACAUACAGAACAUACAGUUUCUGCCGGUGAUACCUGAGCGGCUGGAGCCUUCAGGCGGCCGCAGCAUGAAGAGUUAACAGAGUGGAUCACCACAGUGGAUGUUUGUUCCGAUAGAAAAGCCGCGUUGUUUGUGGACGACCAACUAAUCAAUUCAGAGACAACCAUGGAGAAGGAAACUGCUUAAAGCCCCAGAGUGACAUGCCAGACGGUUGCUAAUGAUUACAACAGUGCAUAUGGCAGCGCUUGGCAACUGGCACCCCAAAACACGGAGCAGAGAAUAAGCCCUCGGGGCAGUCUCAGGCCUCUAAUUGGGCUCUCACCAGUGACAGGCUUGGCUAAAACGGAGCACUGGUCAGAUACAAACAGAAAGGAGAGAGAAUGUUUGUUAUUGUUAGAGACUGAGGAGAAUGAAAGGUGGCCUCCUUUUGGAAGUACCUCUAUGGGAUUCAUGCCAAACUGGAAAGAUCCAUCCGCUCCCAACAGAGACGCAUGGCUGACGUUCAGACUGACAAUGGUGCUCUUUGUUGAGACAUUCCCGUACGGUUGAUGAUAUUGUUUUGAGUUUUAUUGUCUGCUCUUUUUGUGUGCAAUAAACCCAGAAGAAGAUAAUGAAACCA